GGGUUUAUAGCUCAGUUGGUAGAGCACAGGACUCUUAAUCCUUUGGUCCAGGGUUCGAAUCCCUGUAAACCCA
RNAcentral lists this transfer RNA (73 nucleotides) under Patescibacteria group bacterium. RNAcentral describes it as "tRNA-Lys". It matches the Rfam family "tRNA". From Rfam's summary of the family: Transfer RNA (tRNA) molecules are approximately 80 nucleotides in length. Their secondary structure includes four short double-helical elements and three loops (D, anti-codon, and T loops). Further hydrogen bonds mediate the characteristic L-shaped molecular structure. tRNAs have two regions of fundamental functional importance: the anti-codon, which is responsible for specific mRNA codon recognition, and the 3' end, to which the tRNAs corresponding amino acid is attached (by aminoacyl-tRNA synthetases). tRNAs cope with the degeneracy of the genetic code in two manners: having more than one tRNA (with a specific anti-codon) for a particular amino acid; and 'wobble' base-pairing, i.e. permitting non-standard base-pairing at the 3rd anti-codon position. The record is from RNAcentral. RNAcentral also lists the same sequence under 1 other name.